CGCGUGACAGAGAGGAAGUGUCGAAUGUCGGACUAGAGACUGUUUGUUUGGAUCUGGAGAACAUAUAAACUGUUAAAAUUGCACUGCUGUUGAGGUGAUCAGUUUUGUGCUGAUUGGCAGCGUGAAAUCACAUGGUUCUACUUACUUAUGUGACCAAAUAUGGUUCCAUGCUUCAUAAAAGGUCAGCUGCUUGAGGUAUGUGCUGUCGCAGUGAUAGACCAGUGAGGGGGAAGAUGGAUUAUUGAUCCUGCAUCAGCACAAAAGAGAGUAAAAACACGCUCGUCAAUCAAUCAAGGAGAGGAUUUCCAGGAAAGCCCGCAGCUCAGAGUGUCAUCAGUGAGCUGUAAGGAUUUGUCAAAAAUGAAGAGUGUUCACGCUCGUGAUCUGCACAACCCUGGAACAACUGCCAAUACCUGUGUGGCCGACUGUCUCUAAACAGGAACACGCUGUUGUUUUGAAAACGCAAAUAUUACAUUCACCUAUCACUUAUAAGAUCACAGAGUAUUUUAAAAAAAUGUUUAUUUUUAAUCUGCAUAGGUCAAUCAGAUAGUGUUGAUGUGAGUAGUGUUGCUUCAGUGCUUUGGUGACAUCGCCCACUGCUGGCCUGGAAUGCACCUUACAGUGUUUUUCGAUGUUUGUUUCGACAU
Molecule: long non-coding RNA, 647 nt
Organism: Dunckerocampus dactyliophorus (ringed pipefish)
Lineage: Eukaryota; Metazoa; Chordata; Actinopteri; Syngnathiformes; Syngnathidae
Exons: 3
Source: RefSeq, a predicted model, not a curated record